GGAGCGGGAGCCCGGAGAUGGGUACUGAGACAAGGACCCAGGCCCUACGGGGCGCAGCAGUCGCGAAACCUUUGCAAUACACGAAAGUGUGACAGGGCUAUCCCGAGUGCCAUCCGCUGAGGAAGGCUUUUACCCAGUCUAGAAAGCUGGGGGAAUAAGGAGAGGGCAAGUCUGGUGUCAGCCGCCGCGGUAAUACCAGCUCUCCGAGUGGUGUGGAUGUUUAUUGGGCCUAAAGCAUCCGUAGCUGGCUAGGUAAGUCCCUUGUUAAAUCCACCGAAUUAAUCGUUGGAUCGCGGGGGAUACUGCUUGGCUAGGGGACGAGAGAGGCAAACGGUAUUUUCGGGGUAGGGGUGAAAUCCUAUAAUCCCGGGAAGACCACCAGUGGCGAAGGCUGUUUGCU
This 400-nucleotide ribosomal RNA is filed under the name Candidatus Bathyarchaeota archaeon. RNAcentral describes it as "bacterial SSU rRNA". It matches the Rfam family "Archaeal small subunit ribosomal RNA", at positions 279 to 681 of the family's 1478-position model. The record is from RNAcentral. Lineage: Archaea; Thermoproteati; Candidatus Bathyarchaeota.